UACGGGGGGAGCAAGCGUUGUUCGGAUUUACUGGGCGUAAAGGGCGCGUAGGCGGUCGUGACAAGUCACUUGUGAAAUCUCCGGGCUUAACUCGGAACGGUCAAGUGAUACUGUCGGAAUAGAGUACAGAAGGGGCAACUGGAAUUCUCGGUGUAGCGGUGAAAUGCGUAGAUAUCGAGAGGAACACCUGCGGCGAAGGCGGGUUGCUGGGCUGAUACUGACGCUGAGGCGCGAAAGCCAGGGGAGCGAACGGG
Molecule: ribosomal RNA, 254 nt
Filed under: uncultured bacterium
Lineage: Bacteria
Description: partial 16S ribosomal RNA
Rfam family: Bacterial small subunit ribosomal RNA
Source: RNAcentral